This 468-nucleotide ribosomal RNA is filed under the name uncultured bacterium. RNAcentral describes it as "partial 16S ribosomal RNA". It matches the Rfam family "Bacterial small subunit ribosomal RNA", at positions 28 to 507 of the family's 1533-position model. The record is from RNAcentral.
GACGAACGCUGGCGGCGUGCUUAACACAUGCAAGUCGAACGGAAAGGCCCUGCUUUUGUGGGGUGCUCGAGUGGCGAACGGGUGAGUAACACGUGAGUAACCUGCCCUUGACUUUGGGAUAACUUCAGGAAACUGGGGCUAAUACCGGAUAGGAGCUCCUGCUGCAUGGUGGGGGUUGGAAAGUUUCGGCGGUUGGGGAUGGACUCGCGGCUUAUCAGCUUGUUGGUGGGGUAGUGGCUUACCAAGGCUUUGACGGGUAGCCGGCCUGAGAGGGUGACCGGCCACAUUGGGACUGAGAUACGACCCAGACUCAUACGGGAGGCAGCAGUGAAAGAUAUUGCACAAUAGGCGGAAGCCUGGUGCAGCAACGCCGCGUGCGAGAUGACGGCCUUCGGGUUGUAAACCGCUUUCGCCUGUGACGAAGCGUGAGUGACGGUAAUGGGUAAGGAAGCACCGGCUAACUACGUG